Molecule: non-coding RNA, 440 nt
Organism: Paramuricea clavata
Lineage: Eukaryota; Metazoa; Cnidaria; Anthozoa; Malacalcyonacea; Plexauridae
Source: the annotation of a GenBank genome assembly
GUCAUUUACGACCCAACGUCUCGACAUUGCAGUAUAGUGUCCUCAUUAGGGUUAUCGUGAUCUGCUCUGCUUUUGGUUCGGGGUAUUUUACUGUGUGCACAUGUGCGGGGAUCGUGACUAAAACGCCACACGAGUACAUACGAGUAACACACAAGUACAUACGAGUACAUACGAGUAACAUACGAGUACAUACGAGUAACAUACGAGUAACACACGAGUACAUACGAGUAAAACACAAGUACAUACGAGUACAUACGAGUAUAAUACGAGUACAUACGAGUAGAAUACGAGUAAAAUACGAAUAGUAAACUUGUUUUUAGUGUUUGUAGAUUGAAUACAGGCAAAAAGAUCGUCUUCUCUGUCGAAAAACGUGGAAUGGAGGAACGGGGAAUGGAGGAACGGGCAAUGGGGGAAUGGAGGAACGGGAAAUGGGAGAACGG